RNAcentral lists this ribosomal RNA (769 nucleotides) under Pterostichus abaxoides bigerricus. RNAcentral describes it as "partial large subunit ribosomal RNA". The stretch from base 1 to 582 matches the Rfam family "Bacterial large subunit ribosomal RNA", at positions 1836 to 2925 of the family's 2925-position model. Lineage: Eukaryota; Metazoa; Arthropoda; Insecta; Coleoptera; Carabidae. The record is from RNAcentral.
UUGAAAUAUAUAUAAAGUCUAACCUGCCCACUGAAAUUUUUAAAUGGCCGCAGUAUUUUGACUGUGCAAAGGUAGCAUAAUCAUUAGUUUUUUAAUUAAAAGCUUGUAUGAAAGGUUGGACGAAGUAAAAUCUGUCUCUAUUUAAUUUAAAUUAGAAUUUAAUUUUUAAGUUAAAAAGCUUAAAUUUUUAUAAAAGACGAGAAGACCCUAUAGAACUUUAUAAUUUAUAUAAUAUAAAUAAUUAAGAUUUAUUUAAGUUUUAUUAUAUAUAAUUAUUUUAUUGGGGUAAUAGGAAGAUUAAAAAAAUUCUUUUUUUUUAUUAACAUUUAUUUAUGAUAAUAUAUUAAUGAUCCAUUUUUAAUGAUUAUAAGAUUAAGUUACCUUAGGGAUAACAGCGUAAUUUUUUUAAAGAGUUCAUAUCGAUAAAAAAGUUUGCGACCUCGAUGUUGGAUUAAAGAUUAAUUUAGGUGUAGAAGUUUAAAUUUUUGGUCUGUUCGACCAUUAAAUCUUUACAUGAUCUGAGUUCAGACCGGUGUAAGCCAGGUCGGUUUCUAUCUUUAUUUAAUUAAAAUAUUUUAGUACGAAAGGACCAAAUAUUUGAUAUAUUAAUAUUUAUUUUUUGAAUAUUAUUAAUUAUUUUGGCAGAUUAGUGUAAUGAAUUUAGAAUUCAUAUAUGUAAUUAUUUUUACAAAUAAUACUUGUUUUAUAUAGAUUUAUUAUUUUCUUUAAUUUUUAGAUUAUUAUUAAUUAUUUGUGUUUUAGUUGGAGU